RNAcentral lists this long non-coding RNA (3452 nucleotides) under Schizosaccharomyces pombe (fission yeast). The record is from RNAcentral. Lineage: Eukaryota; Fungi; Ascomycota; Schizosaccharomycetes; Schizosaccharomycetales; Schizosaccharomycetaceae.
AAAAAAUAAAUUCAAUUAUUAACAAGAAGGUAUUAAAGUUCGCAAAGCGUGAUAUGAAUCAAUCUCUGGUCCAUCAGCAUAUAUAUCUAAAUUUACAUGUUGACACAGUAGCAUUUUCAAUAAGAUUAAAGCGCCAACUGAAAGAAAUAUGUUAGUAGAAGUAAUGUGAAUAAUCUAUUUAAGUUUGCAAGCAAUCCCUUUUCAUUUGAUCAUAAAAAAAAUGAGAGUGUUAUCUUACAAACUACUAAGCGACCAAUCUAUACGGGAUUGCUUCACCGUCCAACAAAAAAUGCAAAGUAUAUCUAUACUUACCCUUGUCAAGUACUUCUCCAGAGCAAACUCCGCCUUCAAAUUUUGAACUCGUAAUACAUCCGGGACAACCUUCACGAACUUUGCAAUCGCAACUCUCAAUUCGCUCAAUGGCCAUUGUAAUUAAUUCAUCAGUAUGUUCAUAUGCCUUGUUGCAUAAACCAGCACCAGAUGAAUCACCACAAUUAUCAUAGAAAAUGAGUCGGGAAGGACGUCUUCGCUCGCUUUUAGCCUCUUUAUACUCCUUUUCACCCGCUUUACAUUCUGUUCGAAUAUCGUUACCGCUGUUACUAAUAAAAAUUGGCAUCAACGAAAGUAAAGCAUGUUGGGCAGCAUGUAUACUAGCGGCUCCAUUUAUUUUUUUUAAUGACAAAACCUCAAUGAUAUGCCAAGGUACAUCUAUCCAGAAACCUCGACUAUCAAUUUCAACAGGAUGAUCGGUAAUAUCUACCACGUCCAGAAUAUCUUUCUGCUUGUUAACUUUGAAAUACCCAAAUACAUGUAAUGUUGCUUUAACAGCCCCAAAAUAAAUGUUUGUACUUCCAUGCAUAGUCUUCUUCAUUAAGCUGCGAACAGGAUCAACAUCUGUGAAAUCUCUUUGCAAUGUUGACCAUUCAACAUCAACUUGAUGAGCAGUAAUAAUUCUCUUGUUAAUAUUUAGGAGCCUAAUGAUAAACGUUUUUCCUUGAUAAACAUAAACUGCACCUUCGUAAGCAGUUAAUGCAACACGAAAAGGUUCGAGGAGUUCUAGAAUAACAUUCUUAUCAUUUGUGACAUCGACGAGAGUAAACAUGUCUUCACUAACGCUUCGUAUCCGUACCUGCGAGGCAGGAAAAGGAAGAUAUUUUGGAUGAGGCCGAUAACUCUCUUCAACCAUUUCUAAAUUUGCUUCGCAAAUGUCUUGAAUUUGAUUUCCAAAAAACUUUUCGUCGCUCCUUAUGUUAAUGGGAAGCUCAUAUGCAGCACACUGAAGAUGACUCGCUAGUAAUACCUCAUUUGUCAAGUCUAAAGUGAGUUCAGCAUUUGGUUGAGUGUGAAUCAAAAUAGGAUGCUUUAAAUAAAACUGAUCAACGGGAAAUGUCUCAACUAUAUAUACUGCUAAGGAAGACUUAUUCCUUCUACCAGCACGACCAAAUUGCUGGCGCAAGUUAGACAAAGAAUAUGGAAAUCCUAUGGUUAUAACGGCAUCCAGUGAUCCUAUAUCAAUACCUAGCUCUAAAGCAUUCGUCGCAAUAAUCCCAUAUAAUUUCCCGUUAAACAUUUCACUCUCUAUCUUCCUGCGUUCCUGAACCGUAUACCCAGCCCUAUACGAUUGAAUCUUAGAUAAAAGAUCUCCUUUUUGUUUGGUUUUUAAUUCCUGCCUCACUAGUCUCAUUAACGACUCACAGGUUUUUCGAACACGACAGAAAACAAUUGUACGCACCCGCUUUUCGGCAAAUUUAAUAAGCAGUUUCGAGGCUUCAGAGAUUGCGCUUUUCUUUCCAUCAUCAGGAUGCUUGGGGUCGACAUAAGGUGGAUUCCACAUUACAAAUUUUUUUGAACCAGAAGGAGAAGAAGUAUAGUUAAUUAGUUUUAUAUUAUCUACUCCAAAAAUUUUUUUCAUAUGUUGUAAAGGAUCCUCAAUAGUAGCCGAGCAUGAUACAAAUCGAUAUUGACUAUUUCCAAAGUACUCAGCAAUACGGCGCAUCCUUCUUAGAACAAAAGCAACGUGAACGCCAAAUAUUCCAUUGUACACAUGAGCUUCAUCCAGGACGAAAAGUUUCAGGUUUUUAAAGAAAUAAUACCAACGAUUAGCAUUGGGAAGAAUCGUUUGAUGUAACAUAUCCGGAUUCGUAAAGAUUAUAUUUGCAGAUCUAAUAAUACUUUCUCUAGACUCAAGUGGUGUAUCCCCAUCGAAGGUGUCCACUCGAAUAUUCUUAAGCGUCGGCAUAUAGCUAAGUAUAUCGAUUAACGACUUCUUCUGAUCUUGGGCUAAAGAUUUAGUAGGGAAUACAAAAAAUGCCGUAGAUUGAUUAUCUUCUAACAAACUUUGUAAAAUUGGAAUUUGGUAAAUCAAAGACUUUCCACUAGAUGUAGAAGUUGACACUAUAACAUGAAAUCCGUUCCAAAGGUGGUUGAUAGCGUCUGCCUGAUGUUUGUAUGUCUUUUCGAUGUUUCUAGAUGUAUAAAGAGCAUUUAUAAGCUCUUGAGACAAAGGUCGAGACAACGCUCCAUAUUGUGCUUCAACAGCAGGAUAAGUAUGUAAAGCUUCUUGGACUAUUUGCCCUUCGUAAGAAGAUUCAGAAGCUAUUUCAUUUAAAAGUUCUUCAAUUGAGCACGCUUUAGUAUUUAAAUUGCAGUUUUCUAUUGAAUCAUUAGGAAUACUCGGUGAAUCAGGAGGAACCGGCUGGUUUUUCCGGGAUUGAGUUAAUAGCUGUUGCGUUGGGUCAAGUUCUGUCAAUUGACAUUUUUUUAUAUAUUCUUUAAUCCCUUGAAGGAACUUUUGGUUUCGUAACUCUAUGGCUUUCUUCAAAUUAUUAAAAUCCAGCUUUUGCCUCUGGAUAUUAGCCUUCAUUGUUGGGCCUUCACGUCUCCUUCGUUUGGAACUUCUCUCUUGCGUUUCUAAAAGCUCAAUAACCAAAACAUAUUCAGAACUCUGUGAGACCGUUGAACCAGUGUACAACUCAGGGUUUAGAUCAGUGUAAACAUUUUUAUUGAUUUCUAAUGCAAGGCUAGCAAGUGAUUUAUAAUUUAAUUCAAUUAUUUGAGGACAUAUUUCUCUUAGCUGAGAUAAAUCGCCGAUUGUCAACUCCUUUUUCAAACUUUGCUUAACACUCGAAUUGAGAAGGGGAAAAGUGAUUGUAAGAGAAUUUCUCAAAUAAAGAAAAGUGUAUGUAGUAUUAAUUACCUUGAAUAAAUUAAAAAGAUUGUCAAAUAUGGAUGGAAUAGGCUGAUUAGCUUGAAUAGUUCCAAGUUGUGGUUUUUUUUUGGGAUUAUCUGCUUUCAGAGGGAGCUUCCCUUCAUUAAUAUAUUUUUUAAAUUCAAAUUUAUCAUCCUGAUCAUUAGAUUCUUCCUUUUUAAUAGGAGUUUGAGACAUUACCCCUUCACCAUUAAAGUAUGGGCUAAGUGCAAAGGUAUUGAAAUACAAUGAUUUCCAUUAUAAC